UCAAGUUUCUCCAAUAACUCGGCAGAAUCCUCCUCAAUUAUACUCCGAUAAUUAAAGGCAGGCUUCGCACGAAAGAGCUUUAUCAAAUCUCUGGACAUACCUGCAGUAGGGGUGGAAGAUCCCACCUUGGCAGGAGUCCGGCGAGACAUUUCCAAGAUUGCGGGAUCAACGGAUUCGAGGGCGUCGUAAUCACUCUCCAAAGUGGCAAG
Molecule: long non-coding RNA, 209 nt
Filed under: Daucus carota (carrot)
Lineage: Eukaryota; Viridiplantae; Streptophyta; Magnoliopsida; Apiales; Apiaceae
Description: long non-coding RNA (DCAR_LNC003265)
Source: RNAcentral